This 449-nucleotide ribosomal RNA is filed under the name uncultured bacterium. RNAcentral's name for it is "partial 16S ribosomal RNA". It matches the Rfam family "Bacterial small subunit ribosomal RNA", at positions 29 to 523 of the family's 1533-position model. The record is from RNAcentral.
AGCGAACGCUGGCGGCAGGCCUAACACAUGCAAGUCGAACGAACUCUUCGGAGUUAGUGGCGGACGGGUGAGUAACACGUGGGAACGUGCCUUUAGGUUCGGAAUAACUCAGGGAAACUUGUGCUAAUACCGAAUGUGCCCUUCGGGGGAAAGAUUUAUCGCCUUUAGAGCGGCCCGCGUCUGAUUAGCUAGUUGGUGAGGUAAAGACUCAUCAAGGCGACGAUCAGUAGCUGGUCUGAGAGGAUGAUCAGCCACAUUGGGACUGAGACACGGCCCAAACUCCUACGGGAGGCAGCAGUGGGGAAUCUUGCGCAAUGGGCGAAAGCCUGACGCAGCCAUGCCGCGUGAAUGAUGAAGGUCUUAGGAUUGUAAAAUUCUUCCACCGGGGACGAUAAUGACGGUACCCGGAGAAGAAGCCCCGGCUAACUUCGUGCCAGCAGCCGCGGUAA